Molecule: ribosomal RNA, 468 nt
Filed under: uncultured bacterium
Lineage: Bacteria
Description: partial 16S ribosomal RNA
Rfam family: Bacterial small subunit ribosomal RNA
Source: RNAcentral
GACGAACGCUGGCGGCGUGCUUAAUACAUGCAAGUCGAACGGACCGAUUCCGGUAGUUUCCUAUUGGGAAAGGUUAGUGGCGGACGGGUGAGUAACGCGUGGGCAAUCUGCCCCUAAGUCCGGGAUAACAGAGCGAAAGUUCUGCUAAGACCGGAUACUCUUUACUAGCCGCAUGGUUGGUAAAGGAAAGGGAACGCUUAGGGAUGAGCCCGCGUCCCAUUAGCUAGUUGGUGAGGUAACGGCCCACCAAGGCAACGAUGGGUAGCCGGCCUGAGAGGGUGGGCGGCCACAUGGGAACUGAGCCACGGCCCAGACUCCGACGGGAGGCAGCAGUGGGGAAUUUUGGACAAGGGGGGAAGCCCUGCCGCAGCAACGCCGGGUGAGGGAAGAAGGCCUUCGGGUCGUAAACUUUUUUUAUGAGGGAAGAUAAUGACGGUACCUGAGGAGAAAGCCCCGGCUAACUACGUG